Cydia pomonella (codling moth) is the source of this 354-nucleotide long non-coding RNA. RefSeq lists it as uncharacterized. Lineage: Eukaryota; Metazoa; Arthropoda; Insecta; Lepidoptera; Tortricidae. The record is from RefSeq and is a predicted model, not a curated record. The transcript has 2 exons.
UUAGAUGAGUUUCCCAAACGCAGUUAUUCCUUGCAGCUAAUUUUCUUUUCGCCGUUAUUCACAGUCGCAAAUUUUCCCACUUUUUUAAUUUCCCUGUCUUACUAUUUCUCGGUUAAAAUUCAGACAAAAAAAUAUCAGAAACAGAAGCAAAGCGACUGUAAAAAUAAGCUGCAGAGGAAAAAUUAACUGCAGGUUAAAAUUCAGACAAAAAAAUAUCAGAAACAGAAGCAAAGCGACUGUAAAAAUAAGCUGCAGAGGAAAAAUUAACUGCAGGUUAAAAUUCAGACAAAAAAAUAUCAGAAACAGAAGCAAAGCGACUGUAAAAAUAAGCUGCAGAGGAAAAAUUAACUGCAG